This 133-nucleotide transfer RNA is filed under the name Aureispira sp. Its description in RNAcentral is "tRNA-Asp". RNAcentral also lists the same sequence under 1 other name. The record is from RNAcentral. Lineage: Bacteria; Pseudomonadati; Bacteroidota; Saprospiria; Saprospirales; Saprospiraceae.
UGUGCGGUGGUGAAAUUGGCAGCCACACCCUCUUGUCGCGAGGGCGAAGAGUCCGAAAUAAAUCUUGUUCAGUCCUUAAGCAGUCAGAAUACAGACUAAUCGCUUCGUGAAGGUUCGAAUCCUUCCCACACAG